RNAcentral lists this long non-coding RNA (3395 nucleotides) under Malus domestica (apple). RNAcentral describes it as "long non-coding RNA (MDOM_LNC019733)". Lineage: Eukaryota; Viridiplantae; Streptophyta; Magnoliopsida; Rosales; Rosaceae. The record is from RNAcentral.
ACUAUGCCGUGGACACCCUCUGAUGGAGUGACUUUGACAUAGUCAAAGAUCAAGGACCUAACCACAAGACAACUAUGAUGCCUCAGGUUAAAAGACUACUUUGCAUUAUCCCAACCAUGAGUUCUCAUUUGACAUGAGUAUGAGAAGUCAUCGUUGAUCGUGUUCAGUGGACUCAUUCUCUAUUGAGCACCUACAUGCUUGUCUUGGUGUCAAUCACACCAAUGACUCGAGACCGGUCACUCUCCCUGAGAGAAGACACAGCACGUACUUAUCUUAACGGACUGUCAAUGCCCAAUUGGCUAUCCUAUGAUCAGGAACGUUCAAGAUAUGUAUACGAAAGAGAAUGGUCUCAUGAAUCUAACUUCUUUAAAUUACAUUCUCCUAAUUACAUAUUCCUUGGACUUAUCGUUUAAGCAUAUAACAUUUAUAUGAGACGGCUUAAAACAAUAAUCUUUGCCCUUGAUAUUAAACUAGAUUAGUUUAACAUGUGAAAAGUCCGUAAAGUAUCAUCAUAUGAUUGGUUUUAGGGCACAUUUCCAACAAUCUCCCACUUGCACUAGAGCCAAUCAGCUUGGUCAUCAAUGAUGAUACCACUUCUGUAGUCAUUUAAAAAAUGGCUGAGUAGUAGACCUAGACAAUGGAUAUCUACAUGUUAUCCAUAGAAGCAACCUUAAGAAUAACGACGUCACCAUUAUACAUGAUUCUUAAUCAUGUGGUUUAGUUUCUCAUUUGAGUUCGGAUCAUGAUGAGACCUUGAUUCCCUAGCUUGAGCUAUCGCCCCAUUAGUGUCAUAGUGUCGGUACACUAGAGACACUUUCUGGUUAGAACCGAAUAGAGAGUUCAUAAAUGAACUUUCUCAUCCAAACAACAUUGUUGUAAGCUUCUUUAUGGCAAUAUAUUUUGCAUGCAUAAUGGAACACACUAAAGUCAUUACUUUUAAUGUUACCAUCCAAAUAUCUCUUUAGUCAUAAUAAAGAGAUAUCUAAUUAUCUCUUCAUUCAUAAUGAAGAAACAUCCAAUGAUGGAUUAGAUUCAUAAUCUAAUACAUUUACACUUCCAAUACGUUACUCUAAUUCUUCCUCAUUCUUAAGGAAUCCAUCCUUUAUUAUUUCUCAAAUGCUUAAGGACUCACUUGACAGUUGCCAUGGUUCUGAUCCUAGGCUUGCAUUGAUAUCGUCUUGUAUCGAUCUUGGUACAACUCAUAUCAGCGUUUUUCAUGCAAUAUGAAAUACAUAAAUCACCUUUCUGCGUAUGCAUAAAGGAUUCUAUUUACGCAUUAUUUCUUUGGGAGUCAAAGGGUACGUUCCCUUUGAGAAGAGCUACCUCCUAGUCUCACUAGAGUUGUUCUUCUGAUUGAAGCUUAUCAUCAUAUGACAAACUUCCUAGCAUCUUUUGUCUAUCAUUAGGGCUUGAUAUAAUCCAAUUAUAUCCGAAAACCUAUCAUUAUAGAUUUCCAUCCCAUGUUUAUAGACUAUGUCUCCCAUAUACAUUCUAUCGUUAUAGAAUGUUUAAAGUCAUAACUUUAACGAAGAAGUAUUCUUUUCAUUUCCAAAAUUAAUAUAUCAUAUAUGUGUUAAAUUUUAGGAACAUGAUUAACUCCCACUAAUCUUUUGUAAACUUAGUAAACAAAAGAUUCAUUUACAUCUUUAUGAGAAAUCCAUUGAUUUGAUCUUUCUCUCAUUAGAUGCUUAUAGCUCCCACUAGCUUGCCAAGAUCCAUGAUGGAUGGAUCUCUAUAACUUACAUGUCUUGUGAUUCAUAGUUUUAGACAUAUAUUAUCAAGACUAUCUUAAUAAUGGUUUCGGAAACCCAUAUUAUGUCCAAACAUUGAAUCACCAUUUAGUUGUAGCUAGCAAUCUUCGAAUUAAUUGAAACCAAGACUAUGUCAAAGAUGGUUUCUUCCAAGUCAACCAUUCUCUUUGAUUGUAGUCACCUUAAGCUAACAAUUAGCUAUGAAGGUUUCAUUAUUUCAGGUCAAAUGGUACUUUACCAUUUCCUUGAGUAUAUGUCGUAUAUACACUCAAUGUAGUCAUAAGGAUUUUCAUUCUUAUUUCUUUCGAAUUAAAAGGUGUAACUCUAUGACAAAGUCAUAAAGUUCAAACCAUUCAACUGAGACAGUUUAUAAAUCCUUCUCGACUACCUUGGAGCUUGUGGUGUAGGAACUAGGUUGUUAUAUUUGUUGAUUAUCAUCUUGUCUCUCAAAGAACCCAUUCUUGAGUUCUAUCUCUCAUUCAUUUGCUCUAUCUUAGGCAAAUCCUAGUGUAGGAUUACAAUGAACUACCCAACAAACAACAUUUGUUAGUUGGUUUAUAGAAGUGAUAUCCAAAUGUUAAUUUAAGGAUACCCACAAGAUAAUUCUUUAAACAAAUAUUGCUUAUUAGCACACAACCCCAAAUCUUAACACGAUUAAGACUUGUCUUUCUUUCCAACUGCAUCCUAUGGAGUCAUGAAAAUUUUGGAAGAUCUUCUAAUUGACAAUCAUAUUGUCUUAGAAGUAUAUAUCCUAUAUAUAUGGGUAAUUGAUAACAUCCAACGAACUAAAUCUUAUUCGAGUUUGUUCUUCUCUUAAUGGAGAAAUCCAUUAUCAUAUGAUGCUUCUUUCCUUGAUAUCUUUCAAGGAAACUGUUCUAAAGUGUUAGCUUUCCUUGGAUCAAAUCUAAGGAGGUAAAUACUUUAGACAUUUUACUCAUCAACUUACAUUUCUUGAAUUCUUUGAAACCUUUUGCAAAGUAUUCGGACUUGUGUUUAUUCAAAAUAAAUGAUAGUCCAACCGAGAGCGAUCUUCGGUGAAUGUCAAACAACAUGAGUAGUAUUAUGUUGUGGACAAGUGCCACUAACAACAAAGUGAAUUUACCUCAACAACUUUGUGAUUCUUUCUUCCUUUCCAAAAGAAUAAAGAUUCAAACAUUUUGCCUCUACACAAUUUUAACAAGAAGGCAUUGGAUCCGGAUUUAACGAUCCAAAGCAUCCAUCUAUGACCAACUCGUAAUUUAUGUUUUAGAGGUAUCACAACUUAGUUGGGAUUAGUCACUACCUUGCAACCUUUUGGGUUUUAAGCAUCGUUAUAUUCUAAACAGUUAACACUACCAUAUCAUCUAUACUAUAGAGAUAAUCAAUUAGAUUACAAUAAUCUAAUCAUUCAUUAAUAAAGAACAAUGUUUUGUCAAACAAAACAUUCAUCCAUCUCUCAUAGUGACGGAAUUAAGUUCCUUAAAAUUGGAAUGUAAAGACAAUCUUUGGUUUUUCCAAUUUCUUUGGUAGUUCAUAUGAGGAAGUAAGUAUGAUCUACUUUCGCAGAGAUCUACAUUUAAUUCACGUUCCGAAUGUAAAACAUAGUUACUAAUACGGAAUCAAGCAUUCAAGUAGAAGAACCAACUGUUUUGAACUUUUCAAGAA